AAUGAAGGUAGAGGCGCGAAAAUCAUUAGUAACCAGUUGGAGGAUAAAUGGUAUCCUAUGAAAAUUGGAGAAAGGGAGAUUCGCCGAAGUGAUAAAAGACCAUUUGCUUUUAUCGCUGGUUUUACAUUUAAGAGGUGUAAAAUUGUCAGGGAUUCGUAUUGAUUCUUGGAGAGCUAUCUCAUUG
Molecule: non-coding RNA, 184 nt
Filed under: Metabacillus harenarius
Lineage: Bacteria; Bacillati; Bacillota; Bacilli; Caryophanales; Bacillaceae
Description: Bacillus weihaiensis Lysine sequence
Rfam family: Lysine riboswitch aptamer
About the family: Riboswitches are metabolite binding domains within certain messenger RNAs that serve as precision sensors for their corresponding targets. Allosteric rearrangement of mRNA structure is mediated by ligand binding, and this results in modulation of gene expression.
Source: Rfam by way of RNAcentral